RNAcentral lists this unclassified non-coding RNA (346 nucleotides) under soil metagenome. RNAcentral describes it as "partial contains 5.8S ribosomal RNA, internal transcribed spacer 2, and large subunit ribosomal RNA". The stretch from base 1 to 119 matches the Rfam family "5.8S ribosomal RNA", at positions 35 to 154 of the family's 154-position model. The record is from RNAcentral.
GAUGAAGAACGCAGCGAAAUGCGAUACGUAAUGUGAAUCGCAAAUUCAGUGAAUCAUCGAGUCUUUGAACGCACAUUGCGCCCCCUGGUAUUCCGGGGGGCAUGCCUGUCCGAGCGUCAUUGCUGCCCUCAAGCACGGCUUGUGUGUUGGGCCCCGUCCUCCGAUCCCGGGGGACGGGCCCGAAAGGCAGCGGCGGCACCGCGUCCGGUCCUCGAGCGUAUGGGGCUUUGUCACCCGCUCUGUAGGCCCGGCCGGCGCUUGCCGAUCAACCCAAAUUUUUUAUCCAGGUUGACCUCGGAUCAGGUAGGGAUACCCGCUGAACUUAAGCAUAUCAAUAAGCGGAGGA